Molecule: ribosomal RNA, 497 nt
Filed under: uncultured bacterium
Lineage: Bacteria
Description: partial 16S ribosomal RNA
Rfam family: Bacterial small subunit ribosomal RNA
Source: RNAcentral
GAUGAACGCUGGCGGCGUGCCUAAUACAUGCAAGUAGAACGCUGAAGGAAGGAGCUUGCUCUUUCCGGAUGAGUUGCGAACGGGUGAGUAACGCGUAGGUAACCUGCCUGGUAGCGGGGGAUAACUAUUGGAAACGAUAGCUAAUACCGCAUAACAGUAGAUGUUGCAUGACAACUAUUUGAAAGGGGCAAUUGCUCCACUACCAGAUGGACCUGCGUUGUAUUAGCUAGUUGGUGAGGUAACGGCUCACCAAGGCGACGAUACAUAGCCGACCUGAGAGGGUGAUCGGCCACACUGGGACUGAGACACGGCCCAGACUCCUACGGGAGGCAGCAGUAGGGAAUCUUCGGCAAUGGACGGAAGUCUGACCGAGCAACGCCGCGGGAGUGAAGAAGGUUUUCGGAUCGUAAAGCUCUGUUGUAAGAGAAGAACGAGUGUGAGAGUGGAAAGUUCACACUGUGACGGUAUCUUACCAGAAAGGGACGGCUAACUACGUG